This 684-nucleotide ribosomal RNA is filed under the name uncultured archaeon. RNAcentral's name for it is "bacterial SSU rRNA". It matches the Rfam family "Archaeal small subunit ribosomal RNA", at positions 102 to 786 of the family's 1478-position model. The record is from RNAcentral.
GGAUAACCUACCCUUAGGACCGGGAUAACCCUGGGAAACUGGGGAUAAUACUGGAUAGGCAAUUUUUCCUGUAAUGGUUUUUUGUUUAAAUGUUUUUUCGCCUAAGGAUGGGUCUGCGGCCGAUUAGGUAGUUGGUUAGGUAAUGGCUUACCAAGCCGUUGAUCGGUACGGGUUGUGAGAGCAAGAGCCCGGAGAUGGAACCUGAGACAAGGUUCCAGGCCCUACGGGGUGCAGCAGGCGCGAAACCUCCGCAAUGUGAGAAAUCGCGACGGGGGGAUCCCAAGUGCCAUUCUUAACGGGAUGGCUUUUCAUUAGUGUAAAGAGCUUUUGGAAUAAGGGCUGGGCAAGACCGGUGCCAGCCGCCGCGGUAACACCGGCAGCUCUAGUGGUAGCAGUUUUUAUUGGGCCUAAAGCGUCCGUAGCCGGUUUAAUAAGUCUCUGGUGAAAUCCUGUAGCUUAACUGUGGGAAUUGCUGGAGAUACUAUUAGACUUGAGACCGGGAGAGGUUAGAGGUACUCCCAGGGUAGAGGUGAAAUUCUGUAAUCCUGGGAGGACCGCCUGUUGCGAAGGCGUCUAACUGGAACGGUUCUGACGGUGAGGGACGAAAGUUAGGGGCGCGAACCGGAUUAGAUACCCGGGUAGUCCUAACUGUAAACGAUGCGGACUUGGUGUUGGGGUGGCUUU